CGGUGUUACUAAUUCACCCACAGCAUUCACCGCAAACAACAAGACAUCUUAUGAUAUAACCUCAGGUCGGAUGCCUGUUGCCGCUGACUCGAAAAAAGCGGCUGCCUCACAGGAAGCCAUUGGGGAGACCGCUGCACAAAGUGUUGUCGUUGCAGUUGACAGAGUUUUCACGGGAUCAGUGAAACUGGAUGGUGAUGCUAUCGGUAGGUUUGCAUGU
Xenia sp. Carnegie-2017 is the source of this 217-nucleotide long non-coding RNA. RefSeq lists it as uncharacterized. The record is from RefSeq and is a predicted model, not a curated record. Lineage: Eukaryota; Metazoa; Cnidaria; Anthozoa; Malacalcyonacea; Xeniidae. The transcript has 3 exons.